GAUUACAUGACAAAAUUUUCAAUCCAGGACCGAGUUUAAGCUUGGGGUUGAAAUUUCAACCCUGCUUCAGCAACCCCCAGGGUUGAACUCGGCCCUGGGUUGAAAAUUUUGUCAUGUAAU
Non-coding RNA from Paramuricea clavata, 120 nucleotides. The record is from the annotation of a GenBank genome assembly. Lineage: Eukaryota; Metazoa; Cnidaria; Anthozoa; Malacalcyonacea; Plexauridae.